UGCGUAGGCGGCUUGGUAAGUCAGAUGUGAAAUCCUGGGGCUCAACCUCGGGACUGCAUUUGAUACUGCCAGGCUAGAGUACUGGAGAGGAGACUGGAAUUUACGGUGUAGCAGUGAAAUGCGUAGAUAUCGUAAGGAAGGCCAGUGGCGAAGGCGAGUCUCUGGACAGUAACUGACGCUGAGGCACGAAGGCUAGGGGAGCAAACG
RNAcentral lists this ribosomal RNA (207 nucleotides) under uncultured bacterium. RNAcentral's name for it is "partial 16S ribosomal RNA". It matches the Rfam family "Bacterial small subunit ribosomal RNA", at positions 568 to 774 of the family's 1533-position model. The record is from RNAcentral.